AUUUAUAAAGUCAAAGUAGCAUUGAUAUUUAUGGUCAUGGCAAUUCAAAAAUAAAAAAAAAAUAAUAAUAAUAAAAAAAUAAUAAUAAAACAAAACUUGUCAAAAAAUUUAACCAAUGCAUGCUGCCACCCUACAUCGUGACGAACGUUUUGACCGUUGCAAACUCAGAGGUAUGACGAGCGUCACGCAUGCUGUCACGGUCGCAACACCCCCAUGACGCCCGCCACGCAUGCUGUCACGAACGUGACAACUUGCUUUCUCGUAAAUGUUUUUGACCGUUAUGCUGUCACGAACAUGACACAUUGCUGCCUCGUAACCAUGUCAUGACCG
This 330-nucleotide long non-coding RNA is filed under the name Lathyrus oleraceus (garden pea). RNAcentral's name for it is "Pisum sativum (pea) long non-coding RNA (PSAT_LNC001496)". The record is from RNAcentral. Lineage: Eukaryota; Viridiplantae; Streptophyta; Magnoliopsida; Fabales; Fabaceae.